RNAcentral lists this ribosomal RNA (254 nucleotides) under uncultured bacterium. RNAcentral describes it as "partial 16S ribosomal RNA". It matches the Rfam family "Bacterial small subunit ribosomal RNA", at positions 524 to 776 of the family's 1533-position model. The record is from RNAcentral.
UACGAAGGGGGCUAGCGUUGCUCGGAAUCACUGGGCGUAAAGCGCACGUAGGCGGCUUUUUAAGUCAGGGGUGAAAUCCUGGAGCUCAACUCCAGAACUGCCUUUGAUACUGAGAAGCUUGAGUCCGGGAGAGGUGAGUGGAACUGCGAGUGUAGAGGUGAAAUUCGUAGAUAUUCGCAAGAACACCAGUGGCGAAGGCGGCUCACUGGCCCGGUACUGACGCUGAGGUGCGAAAGCGUCGGGGAGCAAACAGG